Molecule: transfer RNA, 73 nt
Filed under: Bos taurus (domestic cattle)
Lineage: Eukaryota; Metazoa; Chordata; Mammalia; Artiodactyla; Bovidae
Also listed under: 5 other names
Rfam family: tRNA
About the family: Transfer RNA (tRNA) molecules are approximately 80 nucleotides in length. Their secondary structure includes four short double-helical elements and three loops (D, anti-codon, and T loops). Further hydrogen bonds mediate the characteristic L-shaped molecular structure. tRNAs have two regions of fundamental functional importance: the anti-codon, which is responsible for specific mRNA codon recognition, and the 3' end, to which the tRNAs corresponding amino acid is attached (by aminoacyl-tRNA synthetases). tRNAs cope with the degeneracy of the genetic code in two manners: having more than one tRNA (with a specific anti-codon) for a particular amino acid; and 'wobble' base-pairing, i.e. permitting non-standard base-pairing at the 3rd anti-codon position.
Source: Rfam by way of RNAcentral
UUCCUAGUGGUCGAGUGGCUAAGACUCUGUGCUCCCAAUGCAGGGGGCCAGGGUUCGAGCCCUGGUCAGGGAA